GUUGGUGAACCAGCGGAGGGAUCAUUAUCGAGUUUUUAACUCCCAAACCCUAUGUGAACUUACCAUAUUGUUGCUUCGGCGGAUCGUCCCAGCCAGGCCCUUCACGGGGUCUGCUGGAACCAGGCGCCCGCCGAAGGUAUCAAACUCGUUUUUUUAGAAUUCUCUGAGUAGCCGAAAGGCAAAAAAACAAAUGAAUCAAAACUUUCAACAACGGAUCUCUUGGUUCUGGCAUCGAUGAAGAACGCAGCAU
RNAcentral lists this unclassified non-coding RNA (250 nucleotides) under plant metagenome. RNAcentral describes it as "partial contains small subunit ribosomal RNA, internal transcribed spacer 1, and 5.8S ribosomal RNA". The stretch from base 200 to 250 matches the Rfam family "5.8S ribosomal RNA", at positions 1 to 51 of the family's 154-position model. The record is from RNAcentral.